Molecule: non-coding RNA, 98 nt
Organism: Mycena epipterygia
Lineage: Eukaryota; Fungi; Basidiomycota; Agaricomycetes; Agaricales; Mycenaceae
Source: the annotation of a GenBank genome assembly
GGCCUGGUGGUGUAAUGGUAAACACGUCUGCUUACAUUAAGUAUGAUAAGUGUUGGCAUUUUAGCAGAAGGUUCCUUGUUCGAAUCAAGGUCGGACCG